GACGAACGCUGGCGGCGUGCCUAAUACAUGCAAGUCGAACGCAGGGGGGACGGGUGAGUAACACGUGGGUAACCUCCCAUCAGAGGGGAUAACACUUGGCAACAGGUGCUAAACCGCUACUGAUGGAUGGACGCGGGGUGCAUUAGCUACUUGGUGAGGGAACGGCUCACCAAGGCCACGAUGCAUAGCUGACCGGAGAGGGUGAUCGGCCACACUGGGACUGAGACACGGCCCAGACUCCUACGGGAGGCAUCAGUGGGGAAUCGUCGGCAAUGGACGAAAGUCUGACCGAGCAACGCCGCGUGAUUGAAGAAGGUUUUCGGAUCGUAAAACUCUUUUGUUAGAGAGGCGGUAUCUAACCAGAAAGCAACGGCUAACUACGUGCCAGCAGCCGCGGUAAUAC
Molecule: ribosomal RNA, 403 nt
Filed under: uncultured bacterium
Lineage: Bacteria
Description: partial 16S ribosomal RNA
Rfam family: Bacterial small subunit ribosomal RNA
Source: RNAcentral